Molecule: ribosomal RNA, 432 nt
Filed under: uncultured bacterium
Lineage: Bacteria
Description: partial 16S ribosomal RNA
Rfam family: Bacterial small subunit ribosomal RNA
Source: RNAcentral
AACGAACGCUGGCGGCAUGCCUAACACAUGCAAGUCGAACGAGACCUUCGGGUCUAGUGGCGCACGGGUGCGUAACGCGUGGGAACCUGCCCUUAGGUUCGGAAUAACUCCCCGAAAGGGGUGCUAAUACCGGAUAAUGUCUUCGGACCAAAGAUUUAUCGCCUUUGGAUGGGCCCGCGUUGGAUUAGCUAGUUGGUAGGGUAAAAGCCUACCAAGGCGACGAUCCAUAGCUGGUCUGAGAGGAUGAUCAGCCACACUGGGACUGAGACACGGCCCAGACCCCUACGGGAGGAAGGAGGGGGGAAUUUUGGAAAAUGGGGGAAAUCCUGACCCAGCAAUGCCGGGUGAGUAAGGAAGGCCUUAGGGUUGUAAAGCUCUUUUACCCGGGAUGAAAAUGACAGUACCGGGAAAAUAAGCCCCGGCUAACCCCGG